RNAcentral lists this long non-coding RNA (3261 nucleotides) under Arabidopsis lyrata. Its description in RNAcentral is "long non-coding RNA (ALYR_LNC002705)". The record is from RNAcentral. Lineage: Eukaryota; Viridiplantae; Streptophyta; Magnoliopsida; Brassicales; Brassicaceae.
AUCCGUACUAUGGCCGGACAAGACCCACCUAUAGCACCCGCUCCUCCACCCGACCUUGGAGUUAUUCUGACCCAAAUCCAAGCUCAAAUGAGACGGAUUGAUGAUCGGCUUUAUCUCUUGGAGCAAGCUAUACCACCACCCGUGCCCCUUGUACGACGGGUCCGAGACCAAAGACUACCACCAGUCGACGACCAAGAACAAGAUCAAGGUCAAGUUGAGGGACACACGUCGGAUGAAGAAGACCCCGACUAUCCAAGACGAAGAAACAACCGACGGGACAACGAACGACCAAUGGGUCCUAAUCUCACCGGACCCUCCUGCAAGCUUACCGUCCCAACCUUUGCGGGAAAGGUUGACCCGGAGGCCUACCUACAAUGGGAAGGCCGAAUGGACAAGGUUUUCUCUUGUUACAACUACCCGGAGAUACGAAAGGUCAUUAUAGCCGCUGCUCAAUUCACGGACCAUGCCCUUACUUGGUGGGACCGCGACGUCGACGACCGACGACGUAAUCACGAGAGACCCGUGGCCACUUGGGACGCAAUGAAGGCCAUCAUGAGACGCCGAUACAUUCCCCAAUACUUUAGCCGUGACCUACAACGGCGAUUUAGGAAGCUCACUCAAGGAAUAAAAAGCGUUGAGGAAUAUUAUGAGGACUUUGAGCACUUGAGGAACCGUUUACAACUAGAAGAGACCGAAGAGGCUUUGAUGGCCCAAUUCUUAGACGGAUUGAAUGACCGGAUCACAAGGAAGGUUGAACGCCAAUCUUACCAAGGGUUUGAGGAGAUGUUGCACCUAGCCAUCCAAGUAGAACAACAAAUCAAGAAGAAAAUUGCAAGCACCAUCCGGACCAAGGGACAAGAACUUCCAAGUUGGUCGCCUAACGCCUCACCGUCUCAUGGGAACAACCGAGUAGCCGACAAGACCAACCGGGGUACCACCGAACCCAAAGCCGCCCGUAUCGACACAAGAUUCAAGCCCCGAGAGACCACCAAAGACAACCGUCCCGACCCAAGACCUCAACCCUCCGACUCAAGGACCCGAGACAUCAUUUGCUUCAAGUGUCAAGGCCGAGGUCAUUAUGCCCGAGACUGCCCCAACCAACGCACCAUGAUCAUCACCACCGCCGGAGACUAUGAAUCCCAAGACGAAGACGACGCCCCACAAGGCCAAGGCAUUGACUCCGAGAUCGAGGAAGCCAUUGCCGAACCGGAAGUUGGAGAACUUCUCAUGAUCCGCCGUAUGCUAAGCACAAGCCAAGCCAUGGACGACUCCAACCAACGCGACAACAUCUUCCACACCCGGUGCAUGGUAAGUGGGAAGGUUUGUGGCUUGAUCAUAGAUGGGGGCUCUUGCACCAAUGUUGCGAGUUCUUAUAUGGUCAAGAAACUUUCUUUGGCUACCACAAGCCAUCCCAAACCUUAUAAGCUUAAAUGGUUGAACAACAAAUCCGUAAUCCAAGUCUCGGAACAAGUGUUAGUUUCUUUUAGUGUUGGCCCCUACCAAGACCAGGUCUUAUGCGAUGUUGUCCCAAUGCAAGCUAGCCACCUAUUGUUGGGUCGGCCUUGGCAAUUUGAUAAGAAGACAUCGCAUUGUGGCCUUACCAAUGAGUAUACUUUUAUCCAUAAUAGUAAACGGAUUUGCUUAAAGCCUUUGUCACCCACCCAAGUCAAUGAAAUGCAAUCGAAAAUGUCUAGUGAACCUAGCUCUAAGUCGAAUUUCUUGGUUAAUUCUAGUGAUGUUAGGAGAUCACUAUGUGACUCCUCUUGCCAAGUGUUACUAAUGGUCUUUAAAGAUGUUUUGACUAUAGAUUGUGAAGGCAAGGACAUUCCGGAGGAGAUUAAGGCCAUCAUCAAGCGUUUUCAAGAUGUGUUUCCGGAAGAACUACCGCAUGGCUUGCCACCUAUCCGAGGGAUUGAACAUCAAAUAGAUCUUAUUCCGGGAGCUCAAUUGCCAAAUAGACCCGCCUAUAGAGUCAACCCAACCGAAGCUAAAGAACUAGAGAAGCAAGUGGGAGACCUCAUGAAGCAAGGAUAUGUCCGAGAGAGCCUUAGCCCUUGUGCCGUACCAGUUCUCCUAGUACCUAAGAAAGAAGAUCCGGAGUUUGGGGAGAGUUAUAGGGAUCACGGCAAAGGAAUUCACUCACGGUUCUACAUCCAAGACGGGUUUCUCUUUCGGGACAAAAGGCUUUGCAUACCCGCCAGAUCUAUUAGGACCCUACUAAUGCAAGAGUCACAUGGAGGAGGCCUAACCGGGCAUUUUGGGGUUACUAAGACUUUGGAAGUCUUAAAGGAACAUUUCUAUUGGCCUAAGAAGAAGUUUGGCCUCUCCAACGCCCCAUCCACCUUUAUGCGGUUAAUGAAUCACAUCCUUAGACCUUUCAUUAAUAAGUUUGUUGUGGUCUAUUUUGAUGAUAUUUUAAUCUAUAGCCGUAGCCUAGAGGAUCACUUGGUCCAUCUAGAGAUGGUGUUGGUCACACUUCGAGAAGAAAAGCUAUACGCUAACUUCAAGAAGUGUGUCUUUGGUACUAAUGAACUAGUUUUUCUAGGUUUUGUUGUGAGUGAGCAGGGCCUUAGAGUGGAUCAAGAGAAAAUUCGAGCAAUAGAGGAAUGGCCUACACCGACAACCGUUAGUCAAGUGAGAAGCUUUCAUGGUUUAGCAAGUUUCUACCGGCGUUUUGUCAAGGACUUUAGCACUGUAGCCGCACCUCUUACUGCCAUCACUAAGAAGAGUGAAGAAUUCACUUGGGGAUCGAGUCAAGAAGCGUCAUUUCAAGAGCUAAAGAGGAGAUUAACACAAGCGCCUCUCCUAGUUCUACCAAGUUUUGAGAAGACCUUUGAAGUAGAGUGUGAUGCGUCCGGCAUCGGGAUUGGAGCGGUCCUAACCCAAUGAGGCAAACCCGUGGCCUACUUUAGUGAGAAGUUACAUGGCCCUGUCCUCAACUAUCCGACUUAUGAUAAGGAGUGAUGUUUUGACUAUAGAUUGUGAAGGCAAGGACAUUCCGGAGGAGAUUAAGGCCAUCAUCAAGCGUUUUCAAGAUGUGUUUCCGGAAGAACUACCGCAUGGCUUGCCACCUAUCCGAGGGAUUGAACAUCAAAUAGAUCUUAUUCCGGGAGCUCAAUUGCCAAAUAGACCCGCCUAUAGAGUCAACCCAACCGAAGCUAAAGAACUAGAGAAGCAAGUGGGAGACCUCAUGAAGCAAGGAUAUGUCCGAGAGAGCCUUAGCCCUUGUGCCGUACCAGUUCUCCUAGUACCUAAGAAAGA